This 30-nucleotide small RNA is filed under the name Bombyx mori (domestic silkworm). RNAcentral's name for it is "ovarian small RNA-20841". The record is from RNAcentral. Lineage: Eukaryota; Metazoa; Arthropoda; Insecta; Lepidoptera; Bombycidae.
UACCUAUGCCGAUAGCCUUGAGGGGCUAUU